This 253-nucleotide ribosomal RNA is filed under the name uncultured bacterium. Its description in RNAcentral is "partial 16S ribosomal RNA". It matches the Rfam family "Archaeal small subunit ribosomal RNA", at positions 474 to 727 of the family's 1478-position model. The record is from RNAcentral.
UACCAGCCCCCCGAGUGGUCGGGACGUUUAUUGGGCCCAAAGCAUCCGUAGCCGGUUCUACAAGUCUUCCGUUAAAUCCAACUGCUUAACAGGUGGGCUGCGGAAGAUACUAUAGAGCUAGGAGGCGGGAGAGGCAAGCGGUACUCGAUGGGUAGGGGUAAAAUCCGUUGAUCCAUUGAAGACCACCAGUGGCGAAGGCGGCUUGCCAGAACGCGCUCGACGGUGAGGGAUGAAAGCUGGGGGAGCAAACCGG